CCUACGGGUGGCAGCAGUGAGGAAUAUUGGUCAAUGGCCGAGAGGCUGAACCAGCCAAGUCGCGUGAGGGAAGACGGCCCUACGGGUUGUAAACCUCUUUUGUCGGGGAGCAAAGCGAGUCACGUGUGACUCAUUGAGAGUACCCGAAGAAAAAGCAUCGGCUAACUCCGUGCCAGCAGUCGCGGUAAUACGGAGGAUGCGAGCGUUAUCCGGAUUUAUUGGGUUUAAAGGGUGCGCAGGCGGAGGUGCAAGUCAGCGGUCAAAUUGCGGGGCUCAACCCCGUACUGCCGUUGAAACUGCAUCCCUUGAGUGCGCGAGAAGUAUGCGGAAUGCGUGGUGUAGCGGUGAAAUGCAGAGAUAUCACGCAGAACUCCGAUUGCGAAGGCAGCAUGCCGGCUCCACACUGACGCUGAGGAGCGAAAGCGUGGGUAGCAAACAGGAUUAGAUACCCCAGUAGUC
RNAcentral lists this ribosomal RNA (459 nucleotides) under uncultured bacterium. RNAcentral's name for it is "partial 16S ribosomal RNA". It matches the Rfam family "Bacterial small subunit ribosomal RNA", at positions 338 to 795 of the family's 1533-position model. The record is from RNAcentral.